This 156-nucleotide unclassified non-coding RNA is filed under the name uncultured Hyaloscypha. RNAcentral describes it as "sequence contains ITS1". The record is from RNAcentral. Lineage: Eukaryota; Fungi; Ascomycota; Leotiomycetes; Helotiales; Hyaloscyphaceae.
CAGAGUUCAUGCCCUCGCGGGUAGAUCUCCACCCUUGAAUACCUUACCUUUGUUGCUUUGGCGGGCCACGUCCGCGUGUCGGCUUCGGCUGGCUGCGCCCGCCAGAGGACCCAAACUCUUUUUGUUUAGUGAUGUCUGAGUAUUAUAUAAUAGUUA